GGCAGGAACAUCCAUCUCUACAUCGCCUCUCCCAUAUGAUACCAUGGCUAAACAAUGUGAAGAUCUUGGUGAAGGCACAAGGAAGAAGCUCUCCAAUUGGUUAGCCCACAAAACUCAUUACAGUAGAGGAGCUGGCAAAUUUUUAACAGCAUUUCCUGCAACUGAAUGCACUGCACUAGAGAAGAUAAUGUGUGAUGCCACCACCGAGCAAGGAGCUGUGAAGCCAAUGAACCCAUGCUUGGCUAUGAGGCUGCCUCCUGCUAGUCCUUUUGAUAACUUUCUGAAAGCAGCUGGAUGUUAAAAGAAUACAAGCUGCGUGCAUUUGUUCUGUUAUCAAUGUUGUAAAGGGUUUUAGUAGUAAUUAGAUUUCAAGGCUAGUUUUUUUUUAUUUUAAACAUAACAGUGAUAUAAGGGCUUCCAUGCAACAGUUAAUUGAUCUAAAUCCAAUCCAAUCCUUCACUUGAGCUUGUGUUGAUGCAGAAAGGGGUGAAACAUUUAGCUAUCUGUC
RNAcentral lists this unclassified non-coding RNA (508 nucleotides) under Hevea brasiliensis (rubber tree). Lineage: Eukaryota; Viridiplantae; Streptophyta; Magnoliopsida; Malpighiales; Euphorbiaceae. The record is from RNAcentral.